CCUACGGGGUGCAGCAGUGAGGAAUAUUGGUCAAUGGGCGUAAGCCUGAACCAGCCAAGUCGCGUGAGGGAUGAAGGUUCUAUGGAUCGUAAACCUCUUUUAUAAGGGAAUAAAGUGUGGGACGUGUCCUGUUUUGUAUGUACCUUAUGAAUAAGGAUCGGCUAACUCCGUGCCAGCAGCCGCGGUAAUACGGAGGAUCCGAGCGUUAUCCGGAUUUAUUGGGUUUAAAGGGUGCGUAGGCGGCCUUUUAAGUCAGCGGUGAAAGUCUGUGGCUCAACCAUAGAAUUGCCGUUGAAACUGGGAGGCUUGAGUAUGUUUGAGGCAGGCGGAAGGCGUGGUGUAGCGGUGAAAUGCUUAGAUAUCACGCAGAACCCCGAUUGCGAAGGCAGCCUGCCAAGCCAUGACUGACGCUGAUGCACGAAAGCGUGGGGAUCAAACAGGAUUAGAUACCCCAGUAGUC
RNAcentral lists this ribosomal RNA (460 nucleotides) under uncultured bacterium. Its description in RNAcentral is "partial 16S ribosomal RNA". It matches the Rfam family "Bacterial small subunit ribosomal RNA", at positions 338 to 795 of the family's 1533-position model. The record is from RNAcentral.